GCUCAGGACGAACGCUGGCGGCGUGCCUAAUACAUGCAAGUCGAACGAACUCUGGUAUUGAUUGGUGCUUGCAUCAUGAUUUACAUUUGAGUGAGUGGCGAACUGGUGAGUAACACGUGGGAAACCUGCCCAGAAGCGGGGGAUAACACCUGGAAACAGAUGCUAAUACCGCAUAACAACUUGGACCGCAUGGUCCGAGUUUGAAAGAUGGCUUCGGCUAUCACUUUUGGAUGGUCCCGCGGCGUAUUAGCUAGAUGGUGAGGUAACGGCUCACCAUGGCAAUGAUACGUAGCCGACCUGAGAGGGUAAUCGGCCACAUUGGGACUGAGACACGGCCCAAACUCCUACGGGAGGCAGCAGUAGGGAAUCUUCCACAAUGGACGAAAGUCUGAUGGAGCAACGCCGCGUGAGUGAAGAAGGGUUUCGGCUCGUAAAACUCUGUUGUUAAAGAAGAACAUAUCUGAGAGUAACUGUUCAGGUAUUGACGGUAUUUAACCAGAAAGCCACGGCUAACUACGUGCCAGCAGCCGCGGUAAUACGUAGGUGGCAAGCGUUGUCCGGAUUUAUUGGGCGUAAAGCGAGCGCAGGCGGUUUUUUAAGUCUGAUGUGAAAGCCUUCGGCUCAACCGAAGAAGUGCAUCGGAAACUGGGAAACUUGAGUGCAGAAGAGGACAGUGGAACUCCAUGUGUAGCGGUGAAAUGCGUAGAUAUAUGGAAGAACACCAGUGGCGAAGGCGGCUGUCUGGUCUGUAACUGACGCUGAGGCUCGAAAGUAUGGGUAGCAAACAGGAUUAGAUACCCUGGUAGUCCAUACCGUAAACGAUGAAUGCUAAGUGUUGGAGGGUUUCCGCCCUUCAGUGCUGCAGCUAACGCAUUAAGCAUUCCGCCUGGGGAGUACGGCCGCAAGGCUGAAACUCAAAGGAAUUGACGGGGGCCCGCACAAGCGGUGGAGCAUGUGGUUUAAUUCGAAGCUACGCGAAGAACCUUACCAGGUCUUGACAUACUAUGCAAAUCUAAGAGAUUAGACGUUCCCUUCGGGGACAUGGAUACAGGUGGUGCAUGGUUGUCGUCAGCUCGUGUCGUGAGAUGUUGGGUUAAGUCCCGCAACGAGCGCAACCCUUAUUAUCAGUUGCCAGCAUUAAGUUGGGCACUCUGGUGAGACUGCCGGUGACAAACCGGAGGAAGGUGGGGAUGACGUCAAAUCAUCAUGCCCCUUAUGACCUGGGCUACACACGUGCUACAAUGGAUGGUACAACGAGUUGCGAACUCGCGAGAGUAAGCUAAUCUCUUAAAGCCAUUCUCAGUUCGGAUUGUAGGCUGCAACUCGCCUACAUGAAGUCGGAAUCGCUAGUAAUCGCGGAUCAGCAUGCCGCGUGAAUACGUUCCCGGGCCUUGUACACACGCUCGUCACACCAUGAGAGUUUGUAACACCCAAAGUCGGUGGGGUA
This 1447-nucleotide ribosomal RNA is filed under the name Lactiplantibacillus plantarum. RNAcentral describes it as "bacterial SSU rRNA". It matches the Rfam family "Bacterial small subunit ribosomal RNA". Lineage: Bacteria; Bacillati; Bacillota; Bacilli; Lactobacillales; Lactobacillaceae. The record is from RNAcentral.